GAGACACCCUUAUGGGGCAGGACUUGCUUCAGUGGGGCUUUGGUGCUCACUGAGUCUGCCCCUUGUUUGUGUCUCU
This is a non-coding RNA of Myotis brandtii (Brandt's bat), 76 nucleotides long. The record is from Rfam. NCBI's taxonomy places the organism in Eukaryota, Metazoa, Chordata, Mammalia, Chiroptera, Vespertilionidae.